AAUCAACGCUGGCGGCGUGCCUCAGACAUGCAAGUCGAACGCGAAAGUUCCCUUCGGGGGAUAAGUAGAGUGGCGUCCGGGUGAGUAACACGUAGGUAAUCUACCUUUGGGUGGGGAAUAACAACCGGAAACGGUUGCUAAUACCGCAUAAUGCAGCGGCACCACAUGGUGACAGUUGUUAAAGCGGGGGGAUCGCAAGACCUCGCGCCUAAAGAGGAGCCUGCGGCGGAUUAGCUAGUUGGAGGGUAACGGCCUACCAAGGCAACGAUCCGUAGCCGGCCUGAGAGGGCGGUCGGCCACACUGGAACUGAGACACGGUCCAGACUCCUACGGGAGGCAGCAGUGGGGAAUUUUUGGCAAUGGGCGAAAGCCUGACCAAGCAACGCCGCGUGGAUGAUGAAGUAUCUCGGUACGUAAAAUCCUUUCGACA
This 430-nucleotide ribosomal RNA is filed under the name uncultured bacterium. RNAcentral's name for it is "bacterial SSU rRNA". It matches the Rfam family "Bacterial small subunit ribosomal RNA", at positions 32 to 441 of the family's 1533-position model. The record is from RNAcentral.